Populus trichocarpa (black cottonwood) is the source of this 116-nucleotide non-coding RNA. The record is from Rfam. Lineage: Eukaryota; Viridiplantae; Streptophyta; Magnoliopsida; Malpighiales; Salicaceae.
UGAUGAAGGUAGCAUGGUAAGGUACGCGUAAAAUGCUUUUUUGGGCCAGCUUGUCUGCUCCCUCUGAUUUCUCUCAUGGAGGUCUUGAUUUGGUGGCCUGGUUUAGACCCACAUUU